ACUCUGCCAAAGAUGGAUCACAUUUGGGUCCACUGACCCAUAGAGGACACUCUAACUCAGACACUAUCAGACCCAACCUCUCUGCAGCUCUAGAAGAAAUGAAAGAGUGAGAAGCACCGGGGUCCAUUAAAGCAUACACCUCGGAACACCCAAUGAUGAGAUUACCUGACACCACCGUGUUCGACGUGUCUGCCUCCUGCUGAGUCAGGGUGAAAAUCCGUGCUGGGGCUGACGGACCUGCACCUCGGGAACCCAUCCCUGAUGAAGAGGCUGCCCCUCUUCCUCUUCCUCUACCACUGCUUGGUGGUAUGGCUGAAACUACGGGCUGGACUACACUGCCCGUACUCAUCUGCUGGGAUGGUGCAACCAAAGUCGCCUGAGGACAUUCUCGUGCAUAAUGUCCCUCCUGCCCACAUCUAUAGCAGGCUGUGGAUCCCAACUGACAAGCUCCUCUAUGCUGUUUGCCACACCUC
Molecule: long non-coding RNA, 473 nt
Filed under: Manihot esculenta (cassava)
Lineage: Eukaryota; Viridiplantae; Streptophyta; Magnoliopsida; Malpighiales; Euphorbiaceae
Description: long non-coding RNA (MESC_LNC006147)
Source: RNAcentral